Molecule: non-coding RNA, 31 nt
Filed under: unclassified sequences
Description: L31-Firmicutes ribosomal protein leader
Rfam family: L31-Firmicutes ribosomal protein leader
Source: RNAcentral
CUAUGACUUAAAAAAGUCAUGGCGGAAGGAG